GUCUACGGCCAUACCACCCUGAACGUGCCCGAUCUCAUCUGAUCUCGGAAGCUAAGCAGGGUCGGGCCUGGUUAGUACUUGGAUGGGAGAAAUCUCUUAUCCACAGCAA
This 109-nucleotide ribosomal RNA is filed under the name Neogale vison (American mink). Lineage: Eukaryota; Metazoa; Chordata; Mammalia; Carnivora; Mustelidae. The record is from RNAcentral.